UUAAGCACCUAUUAUUAUUAAACCAGUUAAUCAAAGCUCUUUCAUAUAUAAACAUCACAGACAUAAUACAUAUAAAUACAUAGAAGAUAAAGGACUCAUUUUCCAAGCCAGAAAUUGCACCAGAAUUUGAACCAGAAAUUGAAUCCAGCCACCACUGUGAAAAGAGAAAGCGAGUUGCCACCGCCAACUCGUGCACCUUGUUCUUCUGCCGCUCCACCGUCCUACUCCUCCGCCGGUCGCAAUGGAAGAGAUCGCCAUGCUCCUCAUUGACAAUGGCUCCAGCAUGUGCAAAGUUGGCUUUGCUGGGGACGACGCCCCCCGAACCGUGUUUCCCUCCAUCGUCGGAUGCCCCCGACACCAGGGCGUGAUGGUGGACAUGGGCCAGAAGGACUCCUAUGUGGGCAACGAGGCCCAGAGCACGGGCAGCAUCCUGACCCUGAAGUACCCUAUUGAGCAUGGCAUCGUCACCAACUGGGACGACAUGGAGAUCUGGCACCACACCUUCUACAACGAGCUGCCCGUGGCCCCAGAGGAGCACCCGGUGCUGCUGACCGAGGCCCCCCUGAACCCCAAGACCAACAGAGAGAAGAUGACUCAGAUUAUGUUUGAGACCUUCAACACCCCAGCCAUGCACGUGGCCAUCCAGGCAGUUCUGUCCCUCUACACCUCUGGGCGCACCACUGGCAUUGUCAUGGACUCUGGAGACGGGGUCACCCACACGGUGACCAUCUACGAGAGCUACGCCCUCCCCCAUGCCAUCCUGCGUCUGGACCUGGCUGGCCGGGACCUGACCGUCUACCUCAUGAAGAUCCUCACCGAGCAUGGCUACAGCUUCACCAUGGGAAAUUGUGCACGACAUCAAGGAGAAGCUGUGCUACGUUGUCCUGGACUUUGAGCAGGAGAUGGCCACCACCGCAUCUUCCUCUUUUCUGGAGAAGAGCUACAAGCUGCCCGAUGGCCAGGUUAUCACCAUCGGCAAUGAGCAGUUCCGGUGUCCGGAGGCACUGUUCCAGUCUUCCUUCCUGGGCAUGGAACCUUGUGGCAUCCAUGAGAUGCUUCAACUCCAUCAUGAAGUGUGAUGUGGACAUCCGCAAAGACCUGUACGCCAACACGGUGCUGUCCAGAGGCACCAACAUGUACCCAGGCAUCGCCGACAGGAUGCAGAAGGAGAUCACCACCCUGGCACCGAGCACCAUGAAGAUCAAGAUCAUUGCACCCCCAGAGCGCAAGUACUCGGUGUGGAUCGGCAGCUCCAACCUGGCCUCACUAUCCACCUUCCAGCAGAUGUGGAUAAGCAAGCAGAAGUAGGACAAGUUGGGCCCCUACAUCGUCCACUGCAAAUGCUUCUAAAUGGACCGAGCAGAUGCAUAGCAUUUGCUGCACGGGUUAAUUCAGAUGUAUAAACUUGCCCUUGGCAAAUGCAUACACCUCAUGCUAGUCUCACGAAACUGGAAUAAGCCUUCGAAAAGAAAUUGUCCUUGAAGCUUGUAUCUGAUAUCAGCACUGGAUUGUAGAACUUGUUCCUGAUUUUGACCUUGUAUUCAAGUUAACUGUUCCCCUUGGUAUUUGUUUAAUACCCUGUACAUAUCUUUGAGUUGAACCUUUAGUACAUGUGGCUUGGUCACUUUGUGGCUGAGGUAAGAACGUGCUUGUGGAAGACAAGUCUGUGGCUUGGUGAGUCUGCGUGGCCAGCAGUCUCCAAUCUGUGCAGGGUAUUAAUGUGUCAGGGCUUGAGUGUUCUGGGAUUUCUCUAGAGGCUGGCAAGGGCUCCUGAACCAGUUGUUUCUGUCCUGCGGGUCUGUCAGGGUUGGAAAGUCCAAGCCAUAGGACCCAGUUUUCUUAGCUGAUGUUUUCUGCCAGAACACCAUGGGCUGUUACUUGCCUUGAGUUGGAAGCAGUUUGCAUUUACACCUGUAAAUGUAUUCAUCCUUGUAAUUUAUGCAAGAUUUUUUUUGUAUGCAAUUCUCGAUUCUUUAAAGAGAUGACAACAAAUUUUGGUUUUCUACUGUUAUGUGAGAACAUCAGACCCCAGGAACACGUCAUUGUGUAAGGAAAAAUAAAAGUGCUGCUAUAACC
Molecule: non-coding RNA, 2076 nt
Organism: Macaca mulatta (Rhesus monkey)
Lineage: Eukaryota; Metazoa; Chordata; Mammalia; Primates; Cercopithecidae
Source: RefSeq, a predicted model, not a curated record